Long non-coding RNA from Galleria mellonella (greater wax moth), 2605 nucleotides. RefSeq lists it as uncharacterized. The transcript has 4 exons. Lineage: Eukaryota; Metazoa; Arthropoda; Insecta; Lepidoptera; Pyralidae. The record is from RefSeq and is a predicted model, not a curated record.
UAUAAUUGUUGGUGACCCACUGUAGCAUCAUCUGUUCUGUUCAUUGGAGUUUAUAUGUCUCUGUGUAUUUUCAAUUUAUUAGCGACGUCGAUCAAAUGUAUAAAGUAAUUUUUUUUAGACAACUUAGAAUGGCAAACAAGCUGAAGGCCCACCUGAUGGAAAGUGGUAACCGUCGCCUAUAGACGUGAGCAGUACCAUGGACAUAACAGAGUAUACUGUUUCGCCCAUGAUACCCCCAUAUAGUGCGGUUACUUGUAGGAAUGUAUGAUAAAAGUAAGGAUGACAAGUAUAUCUUUUACGAAUAAAAUUAUAUCAUUCUAAACAUAGUGGAAUUUUUUGUAGCUACAGAACCCUUGCCCAUUUCUAAUGCUCUGUACUGGCAGCUAUAUUCCGGCGUGCUCUUGAAAUAUCAAUUGGCCAUGUCAAGGGGACGGCUAAAUGUAUCUCGGAAUAAAAUUAUCCCGCAUACAUGUCCUGACUUUGAUAAGAUUACUGAGCCACAUUGAAAUCAGGUAAACAGUUAUGUCACCAAUACACAUACAUAUGUAUACAUAUGUGUAAAGUGCACGCAUGUGUGCAGUACAUGUAUGCAAGUGGGCGUGAGGGUUCGCCAGUGGUGUCGCGAUGCCGCGGCAGCUGUGGCCUACAACUAUUUCGCCAUUAAAAUGCAGUUUAAGUUUCAGACAGUCGUGUUUCUAUGCUCCUCGCUAAAUAUGGUACACCUUAUUAUUUUUGCAAACCCGACACGAAAGAACGAUGAGUAUGCGCAUGUGUGUGCGCGAGUGUGAUUAUCGAGCGAUGCCUGUGAGUGUCGCGACUCGCUGCAUGAAGAUAAAUCGAAGCUAUUAAUAUAAAAUUAUUUAUUGAUCUUGGGAUAAUAUGUUUAUCUCUUCAUAUUCCAUUACGUGGAACCAGUUGAUCACUCGUUCUUUUGCACUUCAUGGCAGAAAUAAGUACUGUGAUCCUUUUGAAGUCGCCUUCAAUAUACACAACAAACUCUGUAUUGAUAUAGCUUAUCGAAUGACGGCUUUUCAUAAUUUCUGAAGCACGAAACUUAUUUUUUUAAUAAUCCAAGCAGGAAUUGGAAUUCAGAGGCUUUUAAUCUGGGAACAAAACAGGUACUAAUCUAGAAUAUGUAUGUGUUUUUGUCUGUUCUUGGAUAUAGAGAUGGAAGGGGAUCUUCAAUAAAAUAAUGGUUAGUAUACUGGACUCAUCUUAUGAGGAGAAACGGGACAGAGGUCACAAAUGAUCCGGUAACAAUUUUGUGGUGUGUUAAAGCCUGUUCAGGUGGGUGACAAUCUAAGGCGUCCAUUUUUGUCUAUUAUUUGUAAUAGAACAUAGAAACGCAUGCUACAACGCACACGUGGCUGUGCUGCGCUGCUGACACAAAUGGGAAUUUUGACCUCCGCAAGCAGACUGACUGCGUUAUAGAAUCCAAAAUGAGGAUUUCCGCAGGAGAAACAAAAUGGGCGAGAUAGCUCGAAAGAUAAGCAAGCUGAUUGGUAAUAUGCCGGCUACAUUGUCUGUACAACCUAUAACUAGAAGAAGAAAUUUCUUGUAAUUGUUUAUAUUUAUAAUAAGUUUACUAUUGUAAUCUUUUGGAGAAAACAAUAAAGAGUAUCUAUCUAUCUAUCUAUCUAAGAAAUGUCCCUAAUUGGUGGUCUCUUAUAGGCAAAUGCAAUGUAGGUCAAACUCUCUCUAGAUGAAGCGACGACCUUGCAUCUGAUACAAACAGUCCGAUGCAGGCGGAUAAAGAUUUCCAAGCAUAGUAGUUUAUAUUUUCAUGCAGUUCGGAGAGGUAAACAAGCUACGUGAUAGAUAGUUGUAAUGGCGAACAUUGGAAAUAAAUAUGGGAUCAAUAUGGUUGUGAAUUUACACAUAUUAGUUCUUAGAAAUGGCAUUAGAUGGAUGCUCGAUCUGUCAGUGUGUAUUGUCCAAUAUGUAGGCGAUAGUUAACGUCGUUUGUCAGCUUGUAUCAGCAAUUUUAACAAUAUAAUAUUUCAGCCUGUUUUCCAUUUCCAGUCGUAUAAAAAAGUUGCAACCAAAAAGUUGUUCUCUUGUUUUGCCAACCUUGAACAUGUUUUGAUUAUUGUGCACUGUGUUGAUGUAAUAUGCUUAUAUUGCAUAUGUAUGUAUGUGUCCACAUGGCUACGGUGUCUCAGUUGGCAGCGGGCAGUGUGUAGAUAUGUGGUAUGUAGAUACAGUUGCCGCCACAUGACGACAGUGCACGCGGCCUGAUGUCCAUUUGGUGGCUGUGGCUGGUCGGUCGGCGACCCCGCGCGCGGCCGUGGGCGCCGCGAUAAACUUUAUAUACACGUAUUUACUAAUGUGUAUAUACACGCGUAUACGGCGGCCGCCAUAAGCCGCUGUAUCGCUUCGGCUGGUUAUGUUCGAUACCGUUACAUUUCUUGCUUCGGAUCUCGCUCGGCGGCUCCGCGCCGCGCUCGGCACGCAGCGCGCCGCCUCGAUACAGAGCGGGCGUCUUCACGCCGAGGGGUGAACUCGCUCGAGGAAGUGCCCUGUAUUUGCAAAGGAAUCCAUUAUAAUGUCAAAUAUGUAAUAAGUUACAUUUAAAAGUUAGACUUCAAAAAGAAGGAAGUUCUCA